Small nuclear RNA from Cavia porcellus (domestic guinea pig), 105 nucleotides. NCBI's taxonomy places the organism in Eukaryota, Metazoa, Chordata, Mammalia, Rodentia, Caviidae. The record is from Ensembl.
GUGUUGCUCCGUUGGGCACCACAUAUCCUAAAAUUGAAAUGAUUCAGAGAUUAACACAGUCCCUGAGCAGGGAUGACACAUAUUCAUGCAGUGAUCCAUGUUUUU